Molecule: ribosomal RNA, 517 nt
Filed under: uncultured bacterium
Lineage: Bacteria
Description: bacterial SSU rRNA
Rfam family: Bacterial small subunit ribosomal RNA
Source: RNAcentral
AGAACUUAGCAGAGAUGCUUUGAUGCCUUCGGGAACUCUGAGACAGGUGCUGCAUGGCUGUCGUCAGCUCGUGUUGUGAAAUGUUGGGUUAAGUCCCGCAACGAGCGCAACCCUUAUCCUUUGUUGCCAGCGGUCCGGCCGGGAACUCAAAGGAGACUGCCAGUGAUAAACUGGAGGAAGGUGGGGAUGACGUCAAGUCAUCAUGGCCCUUACGAGUAGGGCUACACACGUGCUACAAUGGCGCAUACAAAGAGAAGCGACCUCGCGAGAGCAAGCGGACCUCAUAAAGUGCGUCGUAGUCCGGAUUGGAGUCUGCAACUCGACUCCAUGAAGUCGGAAUCGCUAGUAAUCGUGGAUCAGAAUGCCACGGUGAAUACGUUCCCGGGCCUUGUACACACCGCCCGUCACACCAUGGGAGUGGGUUGCAAAAGAAGUAGGUAGCUUAACCUUCGGGAGGGCGCUUACCACUUUGUGAUUCAUGACUGGGGUGAAGUCGUAACAAGGUAGGCGUAGUGCU